This 1455-nucleotide ribosomal RNA is filed under the name candidate division WWE3 bacterium CG_4_9_14_0_2_um_filter_35_11. RNAcentral's name for it is "bacterial SSU rRNA". It matches the Rfam family "Bacterial small subunit ribosomal RNA". RNAcentral also lists the same sequence under 1 other name. Lineage: Bacteria; candidate division WWE3. The record is from RNAcentral.
AGAGUUUGAUCCUAGCUCAGGACUAACGCUGACGGCGUGCCUAAUCUAUGCAAGUUGAUGGUUUUUAUCCGCAAGGAUAAAAACCAUGGCAGACGAGUGAGUAACACGUAGGAACCAACCCUUUACUUGACCAUAACCGUGCGAAAGCAUGAGUAAUAGUCAAUAGUCUCUUCGGAGUAAAGUUUGCAAUUUAUUGCAAAUGGUAAAGGACGGGCCUGCGUCCUAUCAGCUAGUUGGCGGGGUAAUUGCCCACCAAGGCUAUGACGGGUAGGGGGCGUGAGAGCGUGACCCCCCACGAUGGCACUGAGACACGGGCCAUACAUCUACGGAUGGCAGCAAGUAGGAAUAUUGCACAAUGGUCGUCACAGACGACUGAUGCAGCGACGCCGUGUGUGGGAAGAAGCUUUUCGGAGUGUAAACCAAUGUUAAGAAGGGGCGGCUAACUUCGUGCCAGCAGCAGCGGUAAUACGGGGGCCCCAAGCGUUGUCCGGUUUUAUUGGGCGUAAAGAGUUCUGUAGGCGGUGGUUUAAGUUACUGGUUAAAGGUUCGGGCUCAACCCGAAACAUACUUGUAAUACUGGAUCACUAGAGGUAGACAGGGGAGGGCGGAACGCAUGGUGUAGUGGUGGAAUACGUUGAUAUCAUGCGGAACACCGAAGGCGAAGGCAGCCCUCUGGGUCUUAUCUGACGCUAAGAGACGAAAGCGUGGGUAGCAAAACGGAUUAGAUACCCGUGUAGUCCACGCCGUAAACGAUGUUCACUAGAUUCGUGUUUCGAUUUAUCGGGAUGCGGGUCGCAGCUAACGCGUUAAGUGAACCGCCUGGGAAGUACGGCCGCAAGGCUAAAACUCAAAGGAAUUGACGGGGACCCGCACAAGCGGUGGAGCGCCUGCUUUAAUUCGAUGAUAAGCGAAGAACCUUACCGAGGUUUGACAUGCUACUGCAAAUCGGCUGAAAAGCCGACUCCUUCGAGGGUGUAGCACAGGUAUUGCAUGGCUGUUGUCAGCUCGUGUCGUGAGAUGUACCGUUAAGUCGGGUAACGAGCGCAACCCUUAUCGUUAGUUGUAUCACUCUAGCGAAACUGCCCCGGCAACGGGGAGGAAGGGGAGGAAGACAACAAGUCAGCAUGGUCCUUAUGCCUCGGGCGAGACAGGCGCUACAAUGGGAUUGACAAUGGGACGCCAUAUGGCAACAUAGAGCAAAUCUCUAAACAAUCUCUCAGUUCGGAUUGAGGGCUGAAAUUCGCCCUCAUGAAGUUGGAAUCGCUAGUAAUCGCUGGUCAGCUAUACAGCGGUGAAUACGUUCUCGGGUCUUGUACACACUGCCCGUCAGGUCAGCAGAGUUGAGAAUGCCCGAAGUCUCUCGUUUUUGACGAGGGCCUAAGGUAGGCUCAGCGAUGAGGAUUAAGUCGUAACAAGGUAGCCCUAGGGGAAUCUGGGGCUGGAUCACCUCCUUUC